RNAcentral lists this small nuclear RNA (20 nucleotides) under Arabidopsis thaliana (thale cress). RNAcentral's name for it is "snRNA_16888". Lineage: Eukaryota; Viridiplantae; Streptophyta; Magnoliopsida; Brassicales; Brassicaceae. The record is from RNAcentral.
AAUGGGGUUUUCCUUAUCUU